AUGGGCGCAAGCCUGAUCCAGCAAUGCCGCGUGCAGGACGAAGGCCUUCGGGUUGUAAACUGCUUUUGUACGGAACGAAACGGUUGUGGUUAAUACCCAUGGCUAAUGACGGUACCGUAAGAAUAAGCACCGGCUAACUACGUGCCAGCAGCCGCGGUAAU
This 161-nucleotide ribosomal RNA is filed under the name uncultured bacterium. Its description in RNAcentral is "partial 16S ribosomal RNA". It matches the Rfam family "Bacterial small subunit ribosomal RNA", at positions 371 to 524 of the family's 1533-position model. The record is from RNAcentral.